This 308-nucleotide ribosomal RNA is filed under the name Dolichospermum smithii 28R. Its description in RNAcentral is "bacterial SSU rRNA". It matches the Rfam family "Bacterial small subunit ribosomal RNA", at positions 471 to 778 of the family's 1533-position model. The record is from RNAcentral. Lineage: Bacteria; Bacillati; Cyanobacteriota; Cyanophyceae; Nostocales; Aphanizomenonaceae.
GACGGUACCUGAGGAAUAAGCAUCGGCUAACUCCGUGCCAGCAGCCGCGGUAAUACGGAGGAUGCAAGCGUUAUCCGGAAUGAUUGGGCGUAAAGGGUCCGCAGGUGGCAUUGUAAGUCUGCUGUUAAAGAGUUUGGCUCAACCAAAUAAAAGCAGUGGAAACUACAAAGCUAGAGUUUGGUCGGGGCAGAGGGAAUUCCUGGUGUAGCGGUGAAAUGCGUAGAUAUCAGGAAGAACACCAGUGGCGAAGGCGCUCUGCUAGGCCGAGACUGACACUGAGGGACGAAAGCUAGGGGAGCGAAUGGGAU